RNAcentral lists this ribosomal RNA (468 nucleotides) under uncultured bacterium. RNAcentral describes it as "partial 16S ribosomal RNA". It matches the Rfam family "Bacterial small subunit ribosomal RNA", at positions 28 to 507 of the family's 1533-position model. The record is from RNAcentral.
GACGAACGCUGGCGGCGUGCUUAACACAUGCAAGUCGAACGGAAAGGCCCUGCUUUUGUGGGGUGCUCGAGUGGCGAACGGGUGAGUAACACGUGAGUAACCUGCCCUUGACUUUGGGAUAACUUCAGGAAACUGGGGCUAAUACCGGAUAGGAGCUCCUGCUGCAUGGUGGGGGUUGGAAAGUUUCGGCGGUUGGGGAUGGACUCGCGGCUUAUCAGCUUGUUGGUGGGGUAGUGGCUUACCAAGGCUUUGGCGGGUAGCCGGCCUGAGAGGGUGACCGGCCACAUUGGGACUGAGGUACGGCCCAGACUCCUACGGGAGGCAGCAGUGGGGAAUAUUGCACAAUGGGCGGAAGCCUGAUGCAGCAACGCCGCGUGCGGGAUGACGGCCUUCGGGUUGUAAACCGCUUUCGCCUGUGACGAAGCGUGAGUGACGGUAAUGGGUAAAGAAGCACCGGCUAACUACGUG